This 432-nucleotide ribosomal RNA is filed under the name uncultured bacterium. RNAcentral describes it as "partial 16S ribosomal RNA". It matches the Rfam family "Bacterial small subunit ribosomal RNA", at positions 29 to 507 of the family's 1533-position model. The record is from RNAcentral.
AGCGAACGCUGGCGGCAUGCCUAACACAUGCAAGUCGAACGAACUCUUCGGAGUUAGUGGCGGACGGGUGAGUAACACGUGGGAACGUGCCCUUUGGUUCGGAAUAACUCAGGGAAACUUGUGCUAAUACCGAAUGUGCCCUUCGGGGAAAGAUUUAUCGCCAUUAGAGCGGCCCGCGUCUGAUUAGCUUGUUGGUGAGGUAACGGCUCACCAAGGCGACGAUCAGUAGCUGGUCUGAGGGAAUGACCAGCCACACUGGGACUGAGACGCGGCCCAGACUCCUACGGGAGGCAGGAAAGGGGAAUCUUGCGCAAUGGGCGAAAGGCUGACGCAGCCAUGCCGCGUGAAUGAUGAAGGUCUUAGGAUUGUAAAAUUCUUUCACCGGGGACGAUAAUGACGGUACCUGGAGAAGAAGCCCCGGCUAACUUCGUG